RNAcentral lists this ribosomal RNA (639 nucleotides) under Phyllosticta capitalensis. RNAcentral describes it as "eukaryotic LSU rRNA". The stretch from base 196 to 349 matches the Rfam family "5.8S ribosomal RNA". The record is from RNAcentral. Lineage: Eukaryota; Fungi; Ascomycota; Dothideomycetes; Botryosphaeriales; Phyllostictaceae.
UAGGCGCUACAACGCCGAAAUGACCUUCUCACCCUUGUGUACUCACUAUGUUGCUUUGGCGGGUCGACCUGGUUCCGACCCAGGCGGCCGGCGCCCCCAGCCUUAACUGGCCAGGACGCCCGGCUAAGUGCCCGCCAGUAUACAAAACUCAAGAAUUCAUUUUGUGAAGUCCUGAUAUAUCAUUUAAUUGAUUAAAACUUUCAACAACGGAUCUCUUGGUUCUGGCAUCGAUGAAGAACGCAGCGAAAUGCGAUAAGUAAUGUGAAUUGCAGAAUUCAGUGAAUCAUCGAAUCUUUGAACGCACAUUGCGCCCUCUGGUAUUCCGGAGGGCAUGCCUGUUCGAGCGUCAUUUCAACCCUCAAGCUCUGCUUGGUAUUGGGCAACGUCCGCUGCCGGACGUGCCUUGAAGACCUCGGCGACGGCGUCCUAGCCUCGAGCGUAGUAGUAAAAUAUCUCGCUUUGGAGUGCUGGGCGACGGCCGCCGGACAAUCGACCUUCGGUCUAUUUUUCCAAGGUUGACCUCGGAUCAGGUAGGGAUACCCGCUGAACUUAAACAUAUCAAUAAGCGGAGGAAAAGAAACCAACAGUGAUUUGCAUAUAGUAACGGAGAGUUGACGCCGAAAUAGCAUCAAAUUUGAA